UACGUAGGUGGCAAGCGUUAUCCGGAUUUAUUGGGCGUAAAGGGAACGCAGGCGGUCUUUUAAGUCUGAUGUGAAAGCCUUCGGCUUAACCGGAGUAGUGCAUUGGAAACUGGGAGACUUGAGUGCAGAAGAGGAGAGUGGAACUCCAUGUGUAGCGGUGAAAUGCGUAGAUAUAUGGAAGGACACCAGUGGCGAAAGCGGCUCUCUGGUCUGUAACUGACGCUGAGGUUCGAAAGCGUGGGUAGCGAACAGG
Molecule: ribosomal RNA, 253 nt
Filed under: uncultured bacterium
Lineage: Bacteria
Description: partial 16S ribosomal RNA
Rfam family: Bacterial small subunit ribosomal RNA
Source: RNAcentral